Molecule: ribosomal RNA, 254 nt
Filed under: uncultured bacterium
Lineage: Bacteria
Description: partial 16S ribosomal RNA
Rfam family: Bacterial small subunit ribosomal RNA
Source: RNAcentral
UACGUAGGUGGCAAGCGUUGUCCGGAUUUACUGGGCGUAAAGGGCGCGUAGGCGGUCGUGACAAGUCACUUGUGAAAUCUCCGGGCUUAACUCGGAACGGUCAAGUGAUACUGUCGGACUAGAGUGCAGAAGGGGCAACUGGAAUUCUCGGUGUAGCGGUGAAAUGCGUAGAUAUCGAGAGGAACACCUGCGGCGAAGGCGGGUUGCUGGGCUGACACUGACGCUGAGGCGCGAAAGCCAGGGGAGCGAACGGG